GCCUUGAUGCCAGAGUGGUUAAUGGGACAGAUUCGAAAUCUGUUGGGCUUUGCCCGCAUAGGUUCAAAUCCUAUUCAAGGCG
This 82-nucleotide transfer RNA is filed under the name Strongyloides stercoralis. It matches the Rfam family "tRNA". From Rfam's summary of the family: Transfer RNA (tRNA) molecules are approximately 80 nucleotides in length. Their secondary structure includes four short double-helical elements and three loops (D, anti-codon, and T loops). The record is from Rfam by way of RNAcentral. Lineage: Eukaryota; Metazoa; Nematoda; Chromadorea; Rhabditida; Strongyloididae.